This 145-nucleotide microRNA precursor is filed under the name Gossypium arboreum. RNAcentral describes it as "MIR7502 microRNA precursor family". It matches the Rfam family "MIR7502 microRNA precursor family". The record is from Rfam by way of RNAcentral. Lineage: Eukaryota; Viridiplantae; Streptophyta; Magnoliopsida; Malvales; Malvaceae.
UAUUAAAUUUUUUAUCCAUUUGUAUCGUUAAAAACUGACAUUGGCUACAUAAUAAUUAGACGAUGACACUUGACAUGCCACAUGUAUCUCAUGUUAAUAUAUAGAGACAAGUUUUUAACAAUAAAAAUAGAUAAAUUUUUUAACA